UGCAGACGAUGCCAAGAGAUAUUUGCUAUCUGAGCUGCCUUGAUGACUCUCGGCCACCAAGAUCUCUGAUGCG
Small nucleolar RNA from Anolis sagrei ordinatus, 73 nucleotides. RefSeq annotates it as small nucleolar RNA SNORD24. NCBI's taxonomy places the organism in Eukaryota, Metazoa, Chordata, Lepidosauria, Squamata, Anolidae. The record is from RefSeq and is a predicted model, not a curated record.